This 432-nucleotide ribosomal RNA is filed under the name Diderma radiatum. RNAcentral's name for it is "SSU rRNA". It matches the Rfam family "Eukaryotic small subunit ribosomal RNA", at positions 1230 to 1644 of the family's 1831-position model. The record is from RNAcentral. Lineage: Eukaryota; Evosea; Eumycetozoa; Physariida; Didymiaceae.
ACGCGUAUGAAGGACAAGCUGAAAGACUUUUCUCAAUGAUGUAAGUGGUGGUGCAUGGUCGUUCGUAGUUCGUGGAUUGAUUUGUCUGGUCUAUUCCGAUAACGAGCGAGACCCCGGCGUUCCUAAUAGGGGUGGUAGCCCAGCUUGCCUGCCUAACGGCGGGCUUGCUGCCUGCCGCUUAAGAUUGACUUCUUAGACGUAUCAGGGCCGAUAAGGUCCUUGAAAUGGGUUAAUAACAGGUCAGUCAUGCCCUUAGAUGUUCUGGGCCGCACGCGCGUUACAAUGGCAUGUAUACACAGUGCCUAAAAGGGCGUAUCCGGGGCCUAACGGCUUCGGUAACCCUUAAUCCCUGCCUUGACUGGGAUAGACUAUUGCAAUUAUUGGUCUCCAACGAGGAAUUUUUAGUAGUCGUAGGUCAUUAACCUGUGACGA